CCUACGGGUGGCUGCAGUGAGGAAUAUUGGUCAAUGGGCGUAAGCCUGAACCAGCCAAGUCGCGUGAGGGACGACGGCCCUACGGGUUGUAAACCUCUUUUGCCGGGGUGCAAACGGCGGCACGCGUGCCGUCCUGAGGGUACCCGGAGAAAAAGCAUUGGCUAACUCCGUGCCAGCAGCCGCGGUAAUACGGAGGAUGCGAGCGUUAUCCGGAUUUACUGGGUGUAAAGGGAGCGUGGGCGGGAAAGCAAGUCAGGGGUAAAAACACCCGGCUAAACUGGUUGUCGCACGGAAAACUGGAGGUAGUGAGAGCAGUAGAGGCAGGCGGGAUUCCUAGUGUAGCGGUGAAAUGCGUAGAUAUAAGGAAGGAAACCAGUGGCGAAGGCGGCCUACUGGGCUUUUACUGACGCUGAGGCUCGAAAGCGUGGGGAGCAAACAGGAUUAGAUACCCCAGUAGUC
RNAcentral lists this ribosomal RNA (459 nucleotides) under uncultured bacterium. Its description in RNAcentral is "partial 16S ribosomal RNA". It matches the Rfam family "Bacterial small subunit ribosomal RNA", at positions 338 to 795 of the family's 1533-position model. The record is from RNAcentral.